Long non-coding RNA from Manihot esculenta (cassava), 2105 nucleotides. RefSeq lists it as uncharacterized. The transcript is spliced from 2 exons. The record is from RefSeq and is a predicted model, not a curated record. NCBI's taxonomy places the organism in Eukaryota, Viridiplantae, Streptophyta, Magnoliopsida, Malpighiales, Euphorbiaceae.
UAUUUUGAUUAUCAUAAGUUUUACUUAAUUUUCUUGUGGCAUUUGCUACAUUCACAGGGUUACUUUUCCAGUUCCUUGCGUUUGAAAUUUUACAAUUCGAGUUAUUUGAUUCCAUUUUUUUUUCCUUCUUCCAAAGAAUAGUUUAAUUCCUUUUCAGAAUUCCUUAAUUUAUUUUUAUCGAUAAGAACCUCUGUUUUAUUUCGUCAUAAUUAAGUUCUUUUCAUUGUUUACUUACAGUCAACACCUUUCCAAUUUUUUUAUUUUUGCUAUUCUAUUUCAUGUGAAGAUGUGAGCUUGGAUGUUCAUUCCAAGUGCUGGAAAUCACAUGAAGUCAUCAUAAACAUACAUUUGUUUUGCGUCACUUGGCAUUACCUUGUUUGCCCUUCUACGGUGUCAUGCUGUAGCACUAGUCUUCUACUUCCUCCUUAUGUAUAAUGUACUUAAUUUCCUGUUGUUUUUUUUUGCUGUUCUUGCUGUUCUUGAGUACAUUAUCAAUCUAGACUUUAAUCCUGUUCUGAUAACAAUCUAAACCUAUGUGUUUGCGUGAGGGUCAUUCUCUAUAGCAUGUUAAGGAAUAUGGAAUGGAAUAAUCAUCUCUUCAUAUUAAUUGGAUAGAAAAUGAGAGGUUCAUUGCUACAACUAGUUUAUUUGGUGGAAGUAUCAGACUAUCAGUGUUGUUAAAGUGCCAGGCGAGGCUGCCUUGCCUCUCCUGGCUGAGUUGAGGAGAAGUUGAAGAGGUGAGGCGUUGCACCUUUGAAGUAACAGGCAGAUCUUCUUUCUUUUUUAAACAUCAAAUCCUAAUCCAUAGUGUCUAUUUCAACAUCAACAGCUGGAGCAUUUUAGCAAAUCCAGCAGGGCUUCUUUCUCACCUCUUCUUUUCUUGUUCCAUUCUCUUCUUCCCUUUCCUAAUGGCCCUUUGACAGCAGGUUUUUAUUUUAAUCACUAUGUAUAAAUGUAUAAUUGUACAUUUGUAUGUACAUGUAUGUAUAAUUGUGUGUGUAUGAUAUGUAUGUAUAAUUUGUGUGUGCAUAUGUGUGUGUUUUUGUAUAUGGUGCCUCACUUCAAAAAAGGACCUCCCUAAGGCCAUAGGGUACCCUGUCGCUUUGGUGUCACCUCUCACCUUAAUAAGUACAUGAGCAUUAAGGUAUAGGUAUGGAGGUAGCAGGCACUGUGCUAAUUAUAUUAGACAACAUCCAGUGCUGGUGGUUUUGGAUUAAGCAAGUUUAUUGAAGUUGAUGUGUGGAUGGUCACCGUAAGUGCAGAGGUGGCGUUGGUGGUGAUAGUAGUCAUAGAAGUGGUGUUGGGUAAUUAAUUGAUAAGUUGAUAAAAUUAACAUGAUGCUGUGUACCUCAGGAUUGGCUCACUAUGCUCUGAACCUAACGCCUUCUGCGCCUUGUUCCAGGUGCAAGGCUCUAUAACCAGAUCAAGGAAAUGGCUAUUGCAAUAUGAUAAUGAUUGCAUUACGCAAGUUCCUUAACAAAUUUGAUGUUGGGUUAGACUGCUAGGGCAGGGAACGCUUUUAGGUUUUCUAACAAUUAAAGGUAAUCUUAUUCACAUAAGAAUUACUCAUUUGGGUUCCUUCUCCCCCUUGCCAACACAGAUCUUGUUGAUUCCAUACAAUUGGUCUAUAUUAGUCUGGAAAUUUUUGUUCUCUUUGUUUGGCAUGGUUCAUUUUGCAAGUAAAGAAUUCAAAUGAAGACUUGCAAAAUCAUACAAGAUUUCAACUUCCUUUAAAAUGAAAAUUUUUUAAGUUGAAAGAAUUAUUAGAAAGGAAAUCAAUUGAAUUGAAUCUUGCAAAGUUCUUGAUACCAAAUGGAGGGAUUUUGAUUUUGCAAUGUCUUCUGCUAUUGCUGAAAUCACUUAGUUUCUUUGGAUGUGAUUUGAACUUUUUUUCUUUUGGUAAUUGGUUGAUUUCAAUGCCUGAUCAGUUCAGUAUGUCAAAUGUGUGAAGUCUGUCUAUGACAUUUUGUACCGACUUUUAUGAAGAUUUGGUGGUUAGUGGUAAUAUUGAACUUGCUUACUUAUUAGAAAAGGUAUUCUCUAGUUGAUCAACUCCUUACAAGUGUGUGAUGUUUGAUUUUGGUUAUGUCGGUUGUUUUUUUUUU